Molecule: ribosomal RNA, 460 nt
Filed under: uncultured bacterium
Lineage: Bacteria
Description: partial 16S ribosomal RNA
Rfam family: Bacterial small subunit ribosomal RNA
Source: RNAcentral
CCUACGGGUGGCAGCAGUGAGGAAUAUUGGUCAAUGGACGCAAGCCUGAACCAGCCAUGUCGCGUGAGGGAUGAAGGUUCUAUGGGUCGUAAACCGCUUUUGUACGGGAGUAAACGUAGGUACGUGUCCCUUUCUGUAUGUAUCUUACGAAUAAGGAUCGGCUAACUCCGUGCCAGCAGCCGCGGUAAUACGGAGGAUUCAAGCGUUAUCCGGAUUUAUUGGGUUUAAAGGGUGCGUAGGCGGUCUUAUAAGUUAGAGGUGAAAGCCUGAGGCUCAACCACGGAAUUGCCUUUGAUACUGGGCGGCGAGAGAGUGUUUGCGGUAGGCGGAAUGUAUGGUGUAGCGGUGAAAUGCUUAGAGAUCACGCAGAACACCGAUUGCGAAGGCAGCUUACCAAGCUACGACUGACGUUGAGGCACGAAAGCGUGGGGAUCAAACAGGAUUAGAUACCCGGGUAGUC